UUUAAAUGUUGUUGUGGGUUUCAUUGUCCAACGUUUACCAUCUGUCUUAUUUAAUUUUUUAGAUUAGUAUUUUAUUGUUAUUAGAUGAUAAAACAUGAAUAGUAUUUUACGUGUGACUUUAUUUUAAAAAGAAUACAUAUUUUUUUAAUAAGAUAGACAAUUAAACGUUAAACACUAAAAUCUACAAUUGUAUUUAAA
Molecule: microRNA precursor, 198 nt
Filed under: Oryza punctata
Lineage: Eukaryota; Viridiplantae; Streptophyta; Magnoliopsida; Poales; Poaceae
Description: MIR812 microRNA precursor family
Rfam family: MIR812 microRNA precursor family
Source: Rfam by way of RNAcentral